This is a small nucleolar RNA of Urocitellus parryii (Arctic ground squirrel), 119 nucleotides long. Lineage: Eukaryota; Metazoa; Chordata; Mammalia; Rodentia; Sciuridae. The record is from Ensembl.
GUACAAGAAAAAAAAUGAUGCAGGAAUUUAAGAGGCUCACGCAGAAGGGCAAAGGAAACCUUCAUGGAACCCAGAGAAGAGACUUAAAAACUCUCUAUGUCCUGUCUGGAGUUACAGUU